Long non-coding RNA from Triticum aestivum (bread wheat), 1427 nucleotides. RefSeq lists it as uncharacterized. The record is from RefSeq and is a predicted model, not a curated record. The transcript has 3 exons. NCBI's taxonomy places the organism in Eukaryota, Viridiplantae, Streptophyta, Magnoliopsida, Poales, Poaceae.
AAAUUAAGUAGGACUAAUUAAGCAUGAUGACAUGUCUACCUAUAUUUAAUUAAACAUGAUGGGUUGCUUACUUGUAAUUUGUAGCUAUUAAGUUGGAUAAUGAUUUACUCAUAUAAUUAGUUGUUGUACUUUGCUAGUUUUUCACUGCUCAUUUCGUAACAGGAGAAAAUUAAACUCCAAGUAUAUGUUAUCAAAAGAUAAAGAAACAUUGAUGCUCCACAACUUAUAUAGAAAUAUGCAUGUGACUGCCUGAAUGCUUGAUGCUGUUAGAGACUGGCAAAAGCUAGCUAGCAUAUAUAUAGUCAAAAAGGGUCAUAUCAUCGAGAACAAAAGGUAGGCAUGAUGCUCAGUGUCUUUCUUUAAUUGAUAGUAAUUAAUUCUGAAGGUGCAGAGGUGUCAUUCUUUUGUUUUGAUUGCCUGAUGAUUUCUUUCUGUCCUCAUUUGAUAUCCAAACUGCUAAGGUGACACAUACUAUACUAAUUAAUUCUGAAGCUGCAGAGGUAUCCUUAUUUGUGGAACUUGUUAAUUCCGUAAGAACUUAGUAUGACUCGCACAUGGAUGAAUGCUUGCACUGAUGUAUGCCUAUUUAGCACAGGGCAAUGAAUGAGCAAAUACUCCAACUGCCUAUGUACGUGUUACUUCUUCCAGGCAACAGAGUUCAGAACUUCACAAUUUAGGAAAGGAAGGGAGUUCACAAAGCCCAGUUCUCAUUGAAGAACACAAAGAAAGACCAUGGUGGAGGCCAAGAUAUGAACUAUUCACCAUUGGGACCAGAAAUGCAUAGCUUCUGCAGUUCUAUCUGGCUAAGGCAGUUUGAAAGGAAUCAACAGUCUAUCCCGAAGCAUUGUGCAACGGAAAUAGUUCAGACUGCCUCAUGUAGUUUGUUACACGAAUUAACUCAUUUUUUGGCAAAUGAUGCCAGGUUGGUAGUUCUUAUGGACACAUGUGUGCGUGGCGGUAUCUAUUUUAGAUGCCUUCGUGUUCCCAGCUUUUUGGAGUCACCGGGACAUGCCUUUUGUGUCAGGAUUCGUAUUUUAUGAUGGCACCUAGAUUUCUUUAAAUAUGUUCCCUUCUAUUUUUCUUUUCCUAUUAACUGAUUCAUGAAAUGAUUCCCUGAGGUGGACAAAUAUAUUACUUAUGUAUAAUGCAUAUAUGUGCUUCAAUUUUCACUAUUAACAAAUGGAGACAUUGAUGUUAAUUCUACUAAUUGGUCUUAAUUUUUUUCAUUUGUCGGAGCAUAUUUCUUGCCCGCUGGAUCUUGCCCAUUUAAGGGAGUCAUGUCAAAUUAUUCUUAGACCUUGUAUCUUUGUUAGGUGCUUUUGUAUCGCUUAUUUAUUCCCACCAGAAUGUAGCAACAUAUAUGAGUAGAUAUAUUUGUUUUCUUGUUUUUCCAAGAAGAACCGGCACAAGAAGCUGAGGUCGCUGCU